Small nucleolar RNA from Cannabis sativa, 71 nucleotides. RefSeq annotates it as small nucleolar RNA Z105. The transcript has a single exon. The record is from RefSeq and is a predicted model, not a curated record. NCBI's taxonomy places the organism in Eukaryota, Viridiplantae, Streptophyta, Magnoliopsida, Rosales, Cannabaceae.
UGAGCAUGAUGAUGAUUGUUUUAUUAGUCCGAUUAUAUAUGAAUGGAUCUAUAACCUCCUACUCAUUCUGA